AUUGAACGCUGGCGGCAGGCCUAACACAUGCAAGUCGAACGGUAACAGGAAACAGCUUGCUGUUUCGCUGACGAGUGGCGGGCGGGUGAGUAAUGUCUGGGAAACUGCCUGAUGGAGGGGGAUAACUACUGGAAACGGUAGCUAAUACCGCAUAACGUCGCAAGACCAAAGAGGGGGACCUUCGGGCCUCUUGCCAUCGGAUGUGCCCAGAUGGGAUUAGCUAGUAGGUGGGGUAACGGCUCACCUAGGCGACGAUCCCUAGCUGGUCUGAGAGGAUGACCAGCCACACUGGAACUGAGACACGGUCCAGACUCCUACGGGAGGCAGCAGUAGGGAAUAUUGCACAAUGGGCGCAAGCCUGAUGCAGCCAUGCCGCGUGUAUGAAGAGGGCCUUCGGGUUGUAAAGUACUUUCAGCGGGGAUGAAGGGAGUAAAGUUAAUACCUGUGCUCAUUGACGUUACCCGCAGAAGAAGCACCGGCUAACUCCGUG
RNAcentral lists this ribosomal RNA (490 nucleotides) under uncultured bacterium. Its description in RNAcentral is "partial 16S ribosomal RNA". It matches the Rfam family "Bacterial small subunit ribosomal RNA", at positions 30 to 507 of the family's 1533-position model. The record is from RNAcentral.